Long non-coding RNA from Macrobrachium nipponense, 613 nucleotides. RefSeq lists it as uncharacterized. The transcript has 4 exons. The record is from RefSeq and is a predicted model, not a curated record. Lineage: Eukaryota; Metazoa; Arthropoda; Malacostraca; Decapoda; Palaemonidae.
AAAAAAGUUGAGUUUUAGCUUUAUAUUGCGACGCUGGACGUGUGGCACUUGUAAUUUGAAUUCUACAGUUAAGCCAAAAAAGCGAUGGUUUUGUAAAUUCAAUUUCGAAACUCAUCGACAUUUUUACUAAGUUCCCAUUGUCACUAAGGUGUUCGACAUCGAUUAGCGUCAUUCGUCCUCUUAGAUUAAUCCGAAAAGAACGAAUUAUUCACGGUCGUCCGACUCGACCGUCGAAUGAGUAGUACCAGUCGUAAUGCGGCAGCGCCAAAUCGCGGGUGUGAAGAGCUUUCCUUACCAAGGACGAUGCUCUCUCAAGAGUCUGCACGGAUAUGAAUGGAAGCGAAUUUUCCAUUUAUCGAGGAAGAAAAGGGAUUGUCCCUUUAGCCAGUCAAAUCUUGCCGAUACAACUGAAUUCAGCGAAAGAUUUGACGCAGACAUUAGACUCAUAUGCAGUUUGGAGAACUAGGCCUAUCCUCUUCCGGGUUUUCAGCUUGCAUCUAAUACUUUAAGAUCUGUCAGUGGGCUUCUGUACUGGCCCCACAUCCCCUGCUUGAGGUCAAAGGUCAUCUAUCAUCAGUCUUCCUCAAAGGGUCAAGUUUCAUUGCUAUUAAGG